RNAcentral lists this ribosomal RNA (253 nucleotides) under uncultured bacterium. Its description in RNAcentral is "partial 16S ribosomal RNA". It matches the Rfam family "Bacterial small subunit ribosomal RNA", at positions 524 to 776 of the family's 1533-position model. The record is from RNAcentral.
UACAGAGGGGGCAAGCGUUAUUCGGAAUUACUGGGCGUAAAGCGUGCGUAGGCGGUUCGUUAAGUCUGUCGUGAAAGCCCCGGGCUCAACCUGGGAAUGGCGAUGGAUACUGGCGGGCUAGAGUGCGGUAGAGGAGAGUGGAAUUCCCGGUGUAGCAGUGAAAUGCGUAGAGAUCGGGAGGAACAUCAGUUGCGAAGGCGGCUCUCUGGACCAGCACUGACACUGAGGCACGAAAGCGUGGGGAGCAAACAGG